This 211-nucleotide long non-coding RNA is filed under the name Olea europaea (common olive). RNAcentral describes it as "long non-coding RNA (OEUR_LNC002841)". Lineage: Eukaryota; Viridiplantae; Streptophyta; Magnoliopsida; Lamiales; Oleaceae. The record is from RNAcentral.
AGUUUUAAUUGAUGAAAACUAUAGCAAAUUUCAAAUUGUUGGAUUCCAUUAACAAUUCUAUAAUGUCUACACGUUGACAUAAAUUCAAGCAAAUUUCAAAUUCUUGGGAUUUUACUUAUACAUGUUUAGGAUGCUACUUUUGAAUAAUAUUGAAUACUAUAAAUUCAAGCAAAUUUCAAGUUUUAAUUGAUGAAAACUAUAGCAAAUUUUG